Long non-coding RNA from Canis lupus familiaris (dog), 403 nucleotides. RefSeq lists it as uncharacterized. Lineage: Eukaryota; Metazoa; Chordata; Mammalia; Carnivora; Canidae. The transcript is spliced from 2 exons. The record is from RefSeq and is a predicted model, not a curated record.
CAAUGUUAGAAACGAUUUCAUAGCAAUAGCCACUCCUUACUAGCAUCUACCAUGAGCCAACCUAGUGCUAGGCCCUUAAUCUGCUCACAUCGAGAGGAAGGAAGGCAGUUUGGGGUUAAUGGGCCAAGGAUAAGCCAUGUGAGGACUGCACCGGCUUACUGCAGGACCAUCCAUGGAUCAACGGAUCGGGGCAGUGGAGGGCUUGCAGCAGGCGGUUUCCCAUUUUAAAACUUCUGAAUAGUACAUUCAACAGCUGUGACACUGGCUAUCUCCACAAUCCUGGAUUCUUGUCUUGGUGCGCAGGCUCUGUACAAUGAAUAUUGCCAGGGGAAAGUAUGCCAGCAAAGAAGGAAAAUUCUCGCCUUUGUAUUACAGUUUUAAUAAACACCUUCCACAACUUUCA